UUUAUGGAGAGUUUGAUCCUGGCUCAGGACGAACGCUGGCGGCGUGCUUAACACAUGCAAGUCGAACGGUGAUGUCAGAGCUUGCUCUGGCGGAUCAGUGGCGAACGGGUGAGUAACACGUGAGUAACCUGCCCCCGACUCUGGGAUAACUGCUAGAAAUGGUAGCUAAUACCGGAUAUGACGACUGGCCGCAUGGUCUGGUCGUGGAAAGAAUUUCGGUUGGGGAUGGACUCGCGGCCUAUCAGGUUGUUGGUGAGGUAAUGGCUCACCAAGCCUACGACGGGUAGCCGGCCUGAGAGGGUGACCGGCCACACUGGGACUGAGACACGGCCCAGACUCCUACGGGAGGCAGCAGUGGGGAAUAUUGCACAAUGGGCGCAAGCCUGAUGCAGCAACGCCGCGUGAGGGAUGACGGCCUUCGGGUUGUAAACCUCUUUUAGUAGGGAAGAAGCGAAAGUGACGGUACCUGCAGAAAAAGCACCGGCUAACUACGUGCCAGCAGCCGCGGUAAUACGUAGGGUGCAAGCGUUGUCCGGAAUUAUUGGGCGUAAAGAGCUCGUAGGCGGUUUGUCGCGUCUGCUGUGAAAUCCCGAGGCUCAACCUCGGGUCUGCAGUGGGUACGGGCAGACUAGAGUGCGGUAGGGGAGAUUGGAAUUCCUGGUGUAGCGGUGGAA
RNAcentral lists this ribosomal RNA (674 nucleotides) under Clavibacter nebraskensis. RNAcentral's name for it is "bacterial SSU rRNA". It matches the Rfam family "Bacterial small subunit ribosomal RNA", at positions 1 to 686 of the family's 1533-position model. The record is from RNAcentral. RNAcentral also lists the same sequence under 1 other name. Lineage: Bacteria; Bacillati; Actinomycetota; Actinomycetes; Micrococcales; Microbacteriaceae.